RNAcentral lists this transfer RNA (77 nucleotides) under Corynebacterium urealyticum DSM 7109. RNAcentral's name for it is "tRNA-Met-CAT-3-1". It matches the Rfam family "tRNA". Rfam says of the family: Transfer RNA (tRNA) molecules are approximately 80 nucleotides in length. Their secondary structure includes four short double-helical elements and three loops (D, anti-codon, and T loops). Further hydrogen bonds mediate the characteristic L-shaped molecular structure. tRNAs have two regions of fundamental functional importance: the anti-codon, which is responsible for specific mRNA codon recognition, and the 3' end, to which the tRNAs corresponding amino acid is attached (by aminoacyl-tRNA synthetases). tRNAs cope with the degeneracy of the genetic code in two manners: having more than one tRNA (with a specific anti-codon) for a particular amino acid; and 'wobble' base-pairing, i.e. permitting non-standard base-pairing at the 3rd anti-codon position. The record is from RNAcentral. RNAcentral also lists the same sequence under 3 other names. Lineage: Bacteria; Bacillati; Actinomycetota; Actinomycetes; Mycobacteriales; Corynebacteriaceae.
GGGACCAUAGCUCAGUCGGUUAGAGCCGCGAACUCAUAAUUCGCUGGUCGCGGGUUCGAGCCCCGCUGGUCCCACAA